This 28-nucleotide small RNA is filed under the name Bombyx mori (domestic silkworm). RNAcentral describes it as "ovarian small RNA-8688". Lineage: Eukaryota; Metazoa; Arthropoda; Insecta; Lepidoptera; Bombycidae. The record is from RNAcentral.
UGGAAGCGUUAUCAACACCUACGGAACC